Molecule: long non-coding RNA, 988 nt
Organism: Echinops telfairi (small Madagascar hedgehog)
Lineage: Eukaryota; Metazoa; Chordata; Mammalia; Afrosoricida; Tenrecidae
Exons: 3
Source: RefSeq, a predicted model, not a curated record
GCGCCUUCUCUGCAGGCCCUUUCCCGUGGUGGCGUGAGGUGGCGGAGCACCCCCCGUCUGCAGGUCCUCUCAUGAUGUAUCCAAAGUAUGGGAGCCGGAACCUCGCUAUCCUCCGUCCAAGGAAUGCGCUGGCUGUACUCCUCCAAGACAGAUGUUUCUUCUUCCGGCCGCCCAGAGGCUAGAGUACCUAGGAGAAAUCAGACCAGGGAAAGUCAGCAGCCUGAAGCCUGAGGAGCACAGGACCAACAGCCCCGGCUCAAGCACCAACUGCGUGAGGGAGCCACCUCGGAUGCCCCCGCCUAGCUGAGCCCCCAGGGGGCAGAAGAGCUGCCCAGCAGAGCCCAGUCAACCCACAGAGCCAGGAAGGAUCGUCGGCGAGCUGUGGGACGAUUCAUCAGGAAGCAACAGAAGACAGACAACAGACAAAAGAAAUCUGGCUACACAUUUGUGUUUUGGCAAUUUAGGAAUCUAUACGGGGAGGGAACUGGGAACCUGCUUCUAAAGCACUAGGAAGGCUUUCGAGAGUGGGGGCUGCAGUCAGAACACCCAGGGCAGAGCGAUGGGGAGAUGCUCAGAUGGACAAAGACCUACGCCAUAUCAGUGGUUUGUGAUAUGACAGGGCUCGUCACACUAUCUUCAUCAUGCCCCAACCAACCAUCCCUUUUGGUGUGCCCUAAAUUCUGACUUCUGGUACAAUCAGACAGUGCAGUACCUGCUAAAUGGGAGGGAGGUGGAUUGCAUCUCCUAUAUUGUGUGUGUGUGUGUGUGUGUGUGUGUGUGAUGAAGGCAAACGAGGUCUGCAAUAUUUGUCAGUGUGAACACCUCUCUGCUAAGGGGGUUGUUUCUGGUGUAAAAGGUAUAGUGUCUAUUUUUGCACAAAAUGGCUCCUAAACGCAAACUCUUGCUUGGAUUGCAUCUCCGAUAGUGAAUGAAUGAGUGAGUGAGUGAGUGAGUGAGUGAGUGUCAAUUUCAAAAAGAAAAAAAAAAU